AAUCAUGGAGCCUCAUCAGUAAAUGCCUAUGUGUCUGCCUCAGCCCCAGAUAGCGAUAGUUCUAAUCUCUAGAUCAGAACUAUUUCAGCUAUGAUAGUGCAUCAAAGGGGCCAGUGGGGGGCGGGGCACGCUCUUCUGCUGGUUUCUGCAAUAACUGAUAAGCCAACCUGAUGUCAGCUCCCCCUGGAACUGCAAUCUCUCUAUUACCCCGGGAGCAAAGACUGCUACCUUGUCUUACCCGCUGUCUGCCCCACACCGUGGGGUGUCGCUCCAGGACCUCACUUCAGCCAUGCGGAUUCUUUACCACUGAGCCACCAGAGAAGCCCCCAAAGUCAGCUUUGACGGAGGUGAUGAAGUGCUGAUCAGAGUGGGUUCAGCAGACCUUGGAAAGUGAAGAGGAGACAGACUACACAUGCUGCUUCAACAGCUGUGGCACUGAAGAUCAGAGAACAUGGUGUGGUCGAUGACCCUGUUGUCACCUUGGUUAAAUCCGGGACCCCUGUUUCCCAGAAUCCUUGUUAGAUUCCGGGUGAGCGUUGGCCAAAAGAGGAACCUGCCUCAGAUCUGAGAGCUGGAAAUGAAGCAGCAUUCACUAAUACCUGAAGGAUUUCAGGGUGAGAUAUGGAAGCAGAGGCGCCGGGUGGGAUCCGACUUGUCUUCAGACUCUCCUCCGCUCAUGUCUAGCUCUGCUCACAGACCGAUGCCCUGCUGAGUGACGCAGCACUCAACCCCACGACAAGACACUUGGCUGCCGCCCCACACGGGGUUAAGCAUCUUCUCAUAGACCCCUCCAUGCACCCUCUCUUCUAGCCCCCCACACAGCUGGAUGUGUCUGGUUUCUCGAAUUUCCCUGUACAUUCUAAGAUGUUCACAUACAGGGGCUUCAGGCAGCCUGAUGCAUAAUUCUUCUCAUUCUCCAGCUCCCUCUGGACCUUCACUCCCCCAGAUUCUCUUCCACUCCUGCAAGCUCUAGUUCCUGUAACACCCAUAUCAAUCCCAGAAGUCCUGUUUCCUUGGCUGAACCCUACAGGACACAUGGGGUAAGAGCUGGAGAGGGGAUGUGAGGUCAUGGGAGUAUUUGUGUUCAAGAUUCAAGUUUCGCGCCUGUUUGUAUGCUCCAGAGGAUGUUCUAAUAGAGAGGGGAGAUGGAGGAAAGGGCAGAGAAAGCCCAACAGCACGGGCCAUGGAGCCCGGGACCCAGGGCAGGAAGGGAAGGCUUGGAGGCAACAGGGGCUCAGGGGAGGUGAGCUCAAGCACGGUGCUAAGUUGUGGGUGGGUACCCAUGGAAGGAGAUUGGUAGCUAUGAUGGGAACAUGUGAGAGCCUCUUGCAAUUACUUUUAUUGUCCUUGUGAACAGAAGUAAGAGCGGUAGUUGAGACUACCAGGGGGGAAGGUGGGAUAUUUAAAGAGAAAAGAGAAAGUGUGAUAUAAUUGUGACACUCUGUCUUUUUUGGCCACCGUUGUCUCUUCUUGGGGCUGCUCUUGUGGCUCAGCUGGUAAAGAAUCAGCCUGCAAUGCAGGAGACUUGGGUUCCAUCCCUGGGUUGGGAAGAUCCCCUGGAGAAGGGAAAGGCUACCCACUCCAGUAAUCUGGCCUGGAGAAUUCUAUGGUCUGUACAGUCCAUGAGGUCGCAGACAGUCACACACGACUGAGCGAGUUCACUUCACUUCAGUUCUAAGGUUUAGAGAAGUUUCCACUUUCACAGUCUGGCAGGAGGCAGAGCCCACCUCUCAGGAAUGAAGCUGAAACCAACAGACUUUCGCUUCUCUCAGAGAGCAUGAGAUGGUUGGAUGGCAUCAUCAACUCGAUGGACAUGAGUUUGAGCAAGCUCUGGGAGUUGGUGAUGGACAGGGAAGCCUGGCGUGCUGCAGUCCACGGGGUGGCAGACUCUGACACGACUCAGCAACUGAACUGAACUGAACCCCUUGGCUGGAAAAUAGGGUGGGGCCAGUGGGUCACGUGAGUGGGCUCAGC
Bos taurus (domestic cattle) is the source of this 1974-nucleotide long non-coding RNA. The record is from Ensembl. Lineage: Eukaryota; Metazoa; Chordata; Mammalia; Artiodactyla; Bovidae.